UACGAAAGUGUCUUAUUUUUUUAAAGUAUUUCAAAGUAAAAUUACAUGUUAAUACGUAGUAUUAAUGGCGAGACUCCUGAGGGAGCAGUGCCAGUCGAAGACCAAGGCUGAGACGGCACCCUAGGAAAGCGAAGCCAUUCAAUACGAAGUAUUGUAUAAAUAGAGAACAGCAG
Molecule: small RNA, 173 nt
Filed under: Staphylococcus aureus
Lineage: Bacteria; Bacillati; Bacillota; Bacilli; Caryophanales; Staphylococcaceae
Rfam family: S. aureus tsr24 small RNA
Source: RNAcentral